This is a long non-coding RNA of Hyla sarda, 408 nucleotides long. RefSeq lists it as uncharacterized. The transcript is spliced from 3 exons. The record is from RefSeq and is a predicted model, not a curated record. Lineage: Eukaryota; Metazoa; Chordata; Amphibia; Anura; Hylidae.
CCCCACAGACAUAGGACGGAGCAGCAGUGGCAACCCUGGAGGCAGCAAGGACAGCAACCGGGACACCAGCCGAGGCAAGCAGAGCCAGUGAUUACCCCCCCACAAGAGAAUAUUUCAGAGCAGGAGAUUUUAGAGACCGUCAAGAGUUUUAAAACAGAAGGACCUGGCCUGGAGCUGCGCACACGAGUGUCUUCCAUGCCGGGCAUUCCAGCACCGAAGAGGAUUAUCCAACUCUGCAACCUGCCCGAGGGAGGGAUGCCGACAAGAGGAGACCGUGCACCAUCUAAUAUGGACUUGUUUUUACUCGCAGAAAAUAUGGACAAAGAUACUCCCUCUGGUAAAAAGGAUAACUGGACUAAAAGACUUAAAUAUUGCAGUGGUUUUUUAUGGUUGCCUGGAAUGCCCAAC